UUUAUGAAAAUUAAUUGUUAAACAAGAAUGUGUCCAAAGUACACGGAUGCCCCACUCGCACUAUCCUUUUCCAUGUUCCAUGGACCGUGAAAUUGGGUAAUAAUCUAAUUUGGUAUUAAAAUUAGAAAGAUUAUACUAUAGGGAACAUAUGUACUAAGUUUCAAGUUGAUUGGACUUCAAUUUUAUCAAAAACUACCUUGACCAAAAACUUUAACCUGAA
Molecule: long non-coding RNA, 220 nt
Filed under: Mytilus galloprovincialis (Mediterranean mussel)
Lineage: Eukaryota; Metazoa; Mollusca; Bivalvia; Mytilida; Mytilidae
Source: RNAcentral